Mesocricetus auratus (golden hamster) is the source of this 218-nucleotide long non-coding RNA. RefSeq lists it as uncharacterized. The transcript has 3 exons. Lineage: Eukaryota; Metazoa; Chordata; Mammalia; Rodentia; Cricetidae. The record is from RefSeq and is a predicted model, not a curated record.
CUCUUCCUAUCUGGCCAUUAAAAGUGAUUUUUCUUUUUUAAGAAAACAUUUGGAUGCAUUGUUUGGUAUUGUAUUUAUUCAAUAAAGUAUUUAAUUAGUGCUAAGUGUGAACUGGACCCUGUUGCUAAGCCUCAGCAAGCAAUCAUAUCCCAGUAAAAUUGCUAUAUUGCACAUGUCUUAAUGAAGUUUGAAUGUUAAAUAAAUUGUAUAUUCACUUU